RNAcentral lists this transfer RNA (78 nucleotides) under Prevotella sp. RNAcentral describes it as "tRNA-Arg". It matches the Rfam family "tRNA". Rfam says of the family: Transfer RNA (tRNA) molecules are approximately 80 nucleotides in length. Their secondary structure includes four short double-helical elements and three loops (D, anti-codon, and T loops). The record is from RNAcentral. Lineage: Bacteria; Pseudomonadati; Bacteroidota; Bacteroidia; Bacteroidales; Prevotellaceae. RNAcentral also lists the same sequence under 1 other name.
GGUCCGGUAGCUCAGUUGGAUUAGAGCAACUGCCUUCUAAGCAGUAGGUCUUGGGUUCGAACCCCAACCGGAUCACCA